GGGGGGAGGCCGGAUCCUGGGCUGUGUCCCGGCGCCCUGUGCCCCGGGGCCUGCGCUGUUGGAUUCGCGCUCCCGCCCCGCAGCCCCCU
Non-coding RNA from Canis lupus familiaris (dog), 89 nucleotides. NCBI's taxonomy places the organism in Eukaryota, Metazoa, Chordata, Mammalia, Carnivora, Canidae. The record is from Rfam.